CAAUAGUGUAUAUUAAAGUUGUUGCAGUUAAAAAGCUCGUAGUUGGAUUUCUGGUAGGAGUGACCGUUCCGAACUUGAUUGUUCGUGUAUUGUGUUUUCUCCAGCCAUCCUUGUGGAGAACUUUUCUUGCAUUAAUUUGUAGGGAUUGGGACCCGCAUCGUUUACUGUGAAAAAAUUAGAGUGUUUAAAGCAGGCAAUCGCUUGAAUACAUUAGCAUGGAAUAAUAAGAUAGGACUUUGGUACUAUUUUGUUGGUUUGCAUACCAAAUUAAUGAUCAACAGGAACAGUUUGAGGAUAUUCGUAUGAACAUGUCAGAGGUGAAAUUCUUGGAUUUUGAUCAGACGAACUACUGCGAAAGCAUUUAUCAAGGAUGUUUUCAUUAA
RNAcentral lists this ribosomal RNA (383 nucleotides) under uncultured eukaryote. Its description in RNAcentral is "partial 18S ribosomal RNA". It matches the Rfam family "Eukaryotic small subunit ribosomal RNA", at positions 592 to 976 of the family's 1831-position model. The record is from RNAcentral.